RNAcentral lists this ribosomal RNA (505 nucleotides) under Cervidellus vexilliger. Its description in RNAcentral is "SSU rRNA". It matches the Rfam family "Eukaryotic small subunit ribosomal RNA", at positions 88 to 590 of the family's 1831-position model. The record is from RNAcentral. Lineage: Eukaryota; Metazoa; Nematoda; Chromadorea; Rhabditida; Cephalobidae.
CGCGAAUGGCUCAUUAUAACAGCUAUAAUUUACUUGAUCUUGACACAAUCCUACUUGGAUAACUGUGGUAAUUCUAGAGCUAAUACAUGCAUUAAAGCUCUGACCUCACGGGAAGAGUGCACUUAUUAGAACAAAACCAAGCGGCUUCGGCUGUUUUCGGUUGACUCAUAGUAACUGAGCUGAUCGCACGGUCUUGCACCGGCGACGUGUCUUUCAAGUAUCUGCCGUAUCAACUUUCGAUGGUAGUGUAUCUGACUACCAUGGUGAUCACGCGUAACGGAGAAUAAGGGUUCGGCUCCGGAGAGUUCGCCUGAGAAAUCGCGAACACAUCUAAGGAAGGCAGCAGGCGCGAAAAUUACCCACUCUCAGCACGAGGAGGUAGUGACGAAAAAUAACGAGACCGUUCUCUUAUGAGGCCGGUCAUCGGAAUGGGUACAAUUUAAACCCUUUAACGAGUAUCUAUGAGAGGGCAAGUCUGGUGCCAGCAGCCGCGGUAAUUCCAGCU